Molecule: ribosomal RNA, 459 nt
Filed under: uncultured bacterium
Lineage: Bacteria
Description: partial 16S ribosomal RNA
Rfam family: Bacterial small subunit ribosomal RNA
Source: RNAcentral
CCUACGGGUGACAGCAGUGAGGAAUAUUGGUCAAUGGUCGGGAGACUGAACCAGCCAAGCCGCGUGAGGGAUGAAGGUACAGAGUAUCGUAAACCUCUUCUGCCAGGGAACAAAGGCGGGGACGUGUCCCCGGAUGAGUGUACCUGAAGAAAAAGCAUCGGCAAACUCCGUGCCAGCAGCCGCGGUAAUACGGGGGAUGCGAGCGUUAUCCGGAUUUAUUGGGUUUAAGGGGUGGGCGGGCGGUUUGUUAAGUCAGCGGUAAAAGCCCGGGGCUCAACCCCGGCCCGCCGUUGAAACUGGCAGUCUCGAGUUGGAGAGAGGUAUGCGGAAUGCGCGGUGUAGCGGUGAAAUGCAUAGAUAUCGCGCAGAACUCCGAUUGCGAAGGCAGCAUGCCGGCUCCACACUGACGCUGAGGCACGAAAGCGUGGGUAUCGAACAGGAUUAGAUACCCUGGUAGUC